RNAcentral lists this ribosomal RNA (461 nucleotides) under uncultured bacterium. RNAcentral's name for it is "partial 16S ribosomal RNA". It matches the Rfam family "Bacterial small subunit ribosomal RNA", at positions 338 to 795 of the family's 1533-position model. The record is from RNAcentral.
CCUACGGGUGGCAGCAGUGAGGAAUAUUGGUCAAUGGGCGCGAGCCUGAACCAGCCAAGUAGCGUGAAGGAUGACUGCCCUACGGGUUGUAAACUUCUUUUAUAAAGGAAUAAAGUGAGGCACGUGUGCCUUUUUGUAUGUACUUUAUGAAUAAGGAUCGGCUAACUCCGUGCCAGCAGCCGCGGUAAUACGGAGGAUCCGAGCGUUAUCCGGAUUUAUUGGGUUUAAAGGGAGCGUAGAUGGGUUGUUAAGUCAGUGGUGAAAUGCCCCCGCUCAACGGGGUGAAGUGCCAUUGAUACUGCCUUGCUGGAAUGCGGAUGCCGUGGGAGGAAUGUGUGGUGUAGCGGUGAAAUGCAUAGAUAUCACACAGAACACCGAUUGCGAAGGCAUCUCACGAAUCCGCGAUUGACGCUGAUGCACGAAAGCGUGGGUAUCAAACAGGAUUAGAUACCCUGGUAGUC